CGCCCAACAGCUAGCCCAACCCCCAACCUCAAAAUUUCACUAUAUAUAACCCCAAACACACCACCAUAAACCAAACAAACCAUUUUACCCCCCAAGUACGGGCGACAGAAAAGGACCUAAGAGCUAUAGAAAAAGUACCGCAAGGGAAAGCUGAAAGAGUAAUGAAAAAACCCAGUUAAGCGCCAGAAAGCAGAGACCGACCCUCGUACCUUUUGCAUCAUGAUUUAGCCAGUAAACCUUAAGCAGAAAGAAUUAUAGUUUAAAUCCCCGAAACCAGACGAGCUACUCCAAGACAGCCUAAUUUAUAGGGCCCCCCCCGUCUCUGUGGCAAAAGAGUGGGAAGAGCUUAGAGUAGAGGUGACAGACCUACCGAGCCUGGUUAUAGCUGGUUACCUGAGAACUGAAUAGAAGUUCAGCCCUUUAAAUUCUUUAUUCUUGUUGGCCCAGUGCCUCCCACCGAACAAAAGAAGUUAAAAGAGUUAGUCAAAGGGGGUACAGCCCCUUUGAAAUAAGAUACAACUUUCCAAGGAGGGUUAGGAUCAAAACAACUAAAGGUCAAAUGUUCUAGUGGGCCUGAAAGCAGCCAUCUAUUUAGAAAGCGUUAAAGCUCGAACAUUAAAACUUCCUUCUAAUAAAGACAACAUAAUCCCACCCCCCUACCCCUAUCAGGUCACUCCAUCGCAACAUGGAGGCGUUCAUGCUAAUAUGAGUAAUAAGAGAACCCCCUUCUCUCCCCGCACAAGUGUAAGUCGGAACGAACCCCUCACCGACAAUUAACGGCCCCAAAACAAAGAGGGAACUAGGCAGAAAAUAAAUAACUAGAAAACCACCUACCAUCCCACCGUUGACCCCACACUGGUGUGCUAGCAGGAAAGACUAAAAGAAAAAGAAGGAACUCGGCAAACAUAAGCCUCGCCUGUUUACCAAAAACAUCGCCUCUUGCCCCUAAAAUAUAAGAGGUCCCGCCUGCCCUGUGACUAUAC
RNAcentral lists this ribosomal RNA (983 nucleotides) under Hemichromis elongatus. Its description in RNAcentral is "partial 16S ribosomal RNA". The stretch from base 188 to 983 matches the Rfam family "Bacterial large subunit ribosomal RNA", at positions 568 to 1875 of the family's 2925-position model. The record is from RNAcentral. Lineage: Eukaryota; Metazoa; Chordata; Actinopteri; Cichliformes; Cichlidae.